CACGUAGGCACCAAGCGUUGUCCGGAUUUAUUGGGCGUAAAGAGCGUGUAGGCGGCCAUACAGGUCCGUUGUGAAAACUGGAGGCUUAACCUCCAGACGUCGAUGGAAACCGUAUGGCUAGAGUCCGGAAGAGGAGAGUGGAAUUCCUGGUGUAGCGGUGAAAUGCGCAGAUAUCAGGAAGAACACCCGUGGCGAAGGCGGCUCUCUGGGACGGUACUGACGCUGAGACGCGAAAGCGUGGGGAGCGAACAGG
Molecule: ribosomal RNA, 253 nt
Filed under: uncultured bacterium
Lineage: Bacteria
Description: partial 16S ribosomal RNA
Rfam family: Bacterial small subunit ribosomal RNA
Source: RNAcentral